GACGAACGCUGGCGGCGUGCUUAACACAUGCAAGUCGAACGGAAAGGCCCUGCUUUUGUGGGGUGCUCGAGUGGCGAACGGGUGAGUAACACGUGAGUAACCUGCCCUCGACUUUGGGAUAACUUCAGGAAACUGGGGCUAAUACCGGAUAGGAGCUCCUGCUGCAUGGUGGGGGUUGGAAAGUUUCGGCGGUUGGGGAUGGACUCGCGGCUUAUCAGCUUGUUGGUGGGGUAGUGGCUUACCAAGGCUUUGACGGGUAGCCGGCCUGAGAGGGUGACCGGCCACAUUGGGAGUGGGAUACGGCCCAGACUCCUACGGGAGGCAGCAGUGGGGAAUAUUGCACAAUGGGCGGAAGCCUGAUGCAGCAACGCCGCGUGCGGGAUGACGGCCUUCGGGUUGUAAACCGCUUUCGCCUGUGACGAAGCGUGAGUGACGGUAAUGGGUAAAGAAGCACCGGCUAACUACGUG
This 468-nucleotide ribosomal RNA is filed under the name uncultured bacterium. Its description in RNAcentral is "partial 16S ribosomal RNA". It matches the Rfam family "Bacterial small subunit ribosomal RNA", at positions 28 to 507 of the family's 1533-position model. The record is from RNAcentral.